GAUGAAGAACGCAGCGAAAUGCGAUAAGUAAUGUGAAUUGCAGAAUUCAGUGAAUCAUCGAAUCUUUGAACGCACCUUGCGCCUUUUGGUAUUCCGAAAGGCACACCUGUUUGAGCGUCAUGAAUACCUCAAUCUCCAUCUUUUCUUCGGAUUGAUGGGUGACUCGGAUGUUGAGCCCUGCUGGUAUGCUAUAUCAGCUGGCUUUAAACUUAUUAGCCGGCUCUGUACUGGAUCGGUUUGACUCGACGUGAUAAUAUUAUCGUUGAGGAUGCAUGUCUCAUGCAGCCGGAAAGUAUCAAAGCAGCUUCUAGCUUGCCUUUAGUGCACUUUUACAUUUUAGACCUCAGAUCAGGUGGGACUACCCGCUGAACUUAAGCAUAUCAAUAAGCGGAGGA
RNAcentral lists this unclassified non-coding RNA (395 nucleotides) under soil metagenome. RNAcentral describes it as "partial contains 5.8S ribosomal RNA, internal transcribed spacer 2, and large subunit ribosomal RNA". The stretch from base 1 to 120 matches the Rfam family "5.8S ribosomal RNA", at positions 35 to 154 of the family's 154-position model. The record is from RNAcentral.